CGAGCGGACAGAAGGGAGCUUGCUCCCGGAUGUUAGCGGCGGACGGGUGAGUAACACGUGGGUAACCUGCCUGUAAGACUGGGAUAACUCCGGGAAACCGGAGCUAAUACCGGAUAGUUCCUUGAACCGCAUGGUUCAAGGAUGAAAGACGGUUUCGGCUGUCACUUACAGAUGGACCCGCGGCGCAUUAGCUAGUUGGUGGGGUAAUGGCUCACCAAGGCGACGAUGCGUAGCCGACCUGAGAGGGUGAUCGGCCACACUGGGACUGAGACACGGCCCAGACUCCUACGGGAGGCAGCAGUAGGGAAUCUUCCGCAAUGGACGAAAGUCUGACGGAGCAACGCCGCGUGAGUGAUGAAGGUUUUCGGAUCGUAAAGCUCUGUUGUUAGGGAAGAACAAGUGCGAGAGUAACUGCUCGCACCUUGACGGUACCUAACCAGAAAGCCACGGCUAACUACGUGCCAGCAGCCGCGGUAAUACGUAGGUGGCAAGCGUUGUCCGGAAUUAUUGGGCGUAAAGGGCUCGCAGGCGGUUUCUUAAGUCUGAUGUGAAAGCCCCCGGCUCAACCGGGGAGGGUCAUUGGAAACUGGGAAACUUGAGUGCAGAAGAGGAGAGUGGAAUUCCACGUGUAGCGGUGAAAUGCGUAGAGAUGUGGAGGAACACCAGUGGCGAAGGCGACUCUCUGGUCUGUAACUGACGCUGAGGAGCGAAAGCGUGGGGAGCGAACAGGAUUAGAUACCCUGGUAGUCCACGCCGUAAACGAUGAGUGCUAAGUGUUAGGGGGUUUCCGCCCCUUAGUGCUGCAGCUAACGCAUUAAGCACUCCGCCUGGGGAGUACGGUCGCAAGACUGAAACUCAAAGGAAUUGACGGGGGCCCGCACAAGCGGUGGAGCAUGUGGUUUAAUUCGAAGCAACGCGAAGAACCUUACCAGGUCUUGACAUCCUCUGACAACCCUAGAGAUAGGGCUUUCCCUUCGGGGACAGAGUGACAGGUGGUGCAUGGUUGUCGUCAGCUCGUGUCGUGAGAUGUUGGGUUAAGUCCCGCAACGAGCGCAACCCUUGAUCUUAGUUGCCAGCAUUCAGUUGGGCACUCUAAGGUGACUGCCGGUGACAAACCGGAGGAAGGUGGGGAUGACGUCAAAUCAUCAUGCCCCUUAUGACCUGGGCUACACACGUGCUACAAUGGACAGAACAAAGGGCUGCAAGACCGCAAGGUUUAGCCAAUCCCAUAAAUCUGUUCUCAGUUCGGAUCGCAGUCUGCAACUCGACUGCGUGAAGCUGGAAUCGCUAGUAAUCGCGGAUCAGCAUGCCGCGGUG
This 1317-nucleotide ribosomal RNA is filed under the name Bacillus safensis. RNAcentral describes it as "bacterial SSU rRNA". It matches the Rfam family "Bacterial small subunit ribosomal RNA", at positions 63 to 1364 of the family's 1533-position model. Lineage: Bacteria; Bacillati; Bacillota; Bacilli; Caryophanales; Bacillaceae. The record is from RNAcentral.